RNAcentral lists this ribosomal RNA (658 nucleotides) under uncultured Bacteroidales bacterium. Its description in RNAcentral is "bacterial SSU rRNA". It matches the Rfam family "Bacterial small subunit ribosomal RNA", at positions 69 to 715 of the family's 1533-position model. Lineage: Bacteria; Pseudomonadati; Bacteroidota; Bacteroidia; Bacteroidales. The record is from RNAcentral.
GCAGCAUUUUAGUUUGCUUGCAAACUAAAGAUGGCGACCGGCGCACGGGUGAGUAACACGUAUCCAACCUGCCGAUAACUCGGGGAUAGCCUUUCGAAAGAAAGAUUAAUAUCCGAUGGUAUAUUAAAACCGCAUGGUUUUACUAUUAAAGAAUUUCGGUUAUCGAUGGGGAUGCGUUCCAUUAGUUUGCUGGCGGGGUAACGGCCCACCAAGACUACGAUGGAUAGGGGUUCUGAGAGGAAGGUCCCCCACAUUGGAACUGAGACACGGUCCAAACUCCUACGGGAGGCAGCAGUGAGGAAUAUUGGUCAAUGGACGCGAGUCUGAACCAGCCAAGUAGCGUGAAGGAUGACUGCCCUAUGGGUUGUAAACUUCUUUUAUAUGGGAAUAAAGUGGUCCACGUGUGGAUUUUUGUAUGUACCAUAUGAAUAAGGAUCGGCUAACUCCGUGCCAGCAGCCGCGGUAAUACGGAGGAUCCGAGCGUUAUCCGGAUUUAUUGGGUUUAAAGGGAGCGUAGGCGGAUUGUUAAGUCAGUUGUGAAAGUUUGCGGCUCAACCGUAAAAUUGCAGUUGAUACUGGCAGUCUUGAGUGCAGUAGAGGUGGGCGGAAUUCGUGGUGUAGCGGUGAAAUGCUUAGAUAUCACGAAGAACUCCGAUUG